AUCCUUUGUAGUUUAUAAGUGUGAUGAUUAUGUUUCCAUGAGCCUAUGUGAGAUCCAUUUCCCUCAUAUCCUGUUAUGAUGUUGGCACACUACCUAUCUUAUA
Otolemur garnettii (small-eared galago) is the source of this 103-nucleotide small nucleolar RNA. The record is from Ensembl. Lineage: Eukaryota; Metazoa; Chordata; Mammalia; Primates; Galagidae.